This 253-nucleotide ribosomal RNA is filed under the name uncultured bacterium. RNAcentral describes it as "partial 16S ribosomal RNA". It matches the Rfam family "Bacterial small subunit ribosomal RNA", at positions 524 to 776 of the family's 1533-position model. The record is from RNAcentral.
UACGGGGGGGGCAAGCGUUGUUCGGAAUUACUGGGCGUAAAGGGGACGUAGGCGGCCAACUAAGUCCGACGUGAAAUCCCAAGGCUUAACCUUGGAACUGCGUCGGAUACUGGAUGGCUUGAAUUCGGGAGAGGGAUGCAGAAUUCCAGGUGUAGCGGUGAAAUGCGUAGAUAUCUGGAGGAAUACCGGUGGCGAAGGCGGCACUCUGGGCCGGAACUGACGCUGAGGAGCGAAAGCGUGGGGAGCGAACAGG